UGCCCUUAACCUGCGUCCGCGUCCCAGUUUCAUUGACAUGAUCAAACAGACGGCCAGCUCCCUGAUAUGAUGACAGAUGACAAAAGAAAAGAGCUACAAGUGGAGACAGCCCAGCGACAGCGGUAACAGCAUACACGUGAUACCCACUCAGUGACAUGACUGGCCCUCGCGGCCCAAAACUUAAGACCGGCCCACCGGGAAUUGUCCCGGUCCUCCCGAUUAGCUACUCUGGGCCUGGAUGGCGUCCAUAGAGGGGGGGGGGGGGUACUGUCACGGUCUCUCGAACCAGAUCCUAGCUUCCACUAGUACCGCUCUCUGUCAGUCUUGUCUGUCCCUGUUUGUUGCUCUUUCAGUGUUUCAUGUGCGGGGGCGUGGCCUCCGCAUUCCAGCACAGUUCCCCGAUCCAGCCUCGUUGAUCCCCCGCACCUGACAGUCAUCUCCAAUCAGGAUCACCAGUAUAUCUACCCCAGCCUUCCAACCAUUCGUCGCCAGAUCGUCAGUUGUACUUACCCUUCAUCACCAUCACAAUUAUACUUCAACCCUGCUCUACUGCCGGAGUACCAUCAUCAUCAAAUCGUCGGGUGUGGCUGUUGGUUCGGCUGCCAGCCGACUCAUCCAACCCCGGUUCGGACUACCCGGUCCGUGGAUUCAGGAUUACCCCUAACGGACGCAACCACCAGCACCAACCUUAAUCAACCGUGGACUAAUAAACUGUUAAACUGUUUCCGCUCUCGUCUGUGGUCAUUUGUGGCGUGCGUUUGGGUCCAUCCCGUCUUGAAUCGUAACAAAUUAGUUACCUAUUGCAGAUGGAGGCCUAUAACAACCAACUAUCAUGAUAUGAUGGUCUUUCGAAAAAUGUAAGGCCAGAAGCUCAAAUUGUUUACCGAAGGAUUCAGUGAGCACUAAAUUAACAAUCAAUUUUCGUUUGGCAUAAAUAGCAACACCACCCCCCUUAUAGUGGCUUUUUUGCCAAGAUUAGAAGCCACUAUAGGAGCGAGGUAGACGCGCAUCCAAAACCAAAGUAAAGCAAUCUGAUUCGAAGUUUAAACAAAAAUGCUUUAUUAAAUAAACCUUCAAACAAAAAUGAUUCGUCUUCGUUAUUGUUAUUGUUUCCAUUGCAUUAUUUCCAUUAUGGCUCCAACAUACCAG
RNAcentral lists this long non-coding RNA (1149 nucleotides) under Gadus morhua (Atlantic cod). RNAcentral describes it as "lncRNA (ENSGMOG00000022780.1)". The record is from RNAcentral. Lineage: Eukaryota; Metazoa; Chordata; Actinopteri; Gadiformes; Gadidae.